AUGACGGAGGGAUCCGCCCUCGAGAUUUCCAACCUGAAGUUCCUCCUUCUGUGCUUCCAGCAAAUGUCGGGCCUGACCAUCAACUUUGACAAGAGCGAAGUGAUGGUGCUCGGCUACCCCAAUGAGAACGCUCAGUCCAUUGCCGAUCGGCUUAACUGCCGGCUGGGAUCUUUUCCCACGACCUAUCUGGGGAUCCCCAUUAGCGACUCGCGCCUCACCGUGGCGGACCUCCGCCCCACGGUGACCCGUAUGCAGCACCGAGUUGAGCCCUGGAAAGGGCGCUGGCUGUCGAAGGCGGCACGUGUGAUCCUUAUCAACUCGUCGCUUGCCAGCCUUCUGUGGUUCCUCAUGAGCUUUUACAGCCUUCAUGAAACCCUUCAUCAGGAGAUCGCCAAGUACCAGGCCAGAUUUUUCUGGGCUGGCGAGGCAGGCAGACAGAAAUAUCACAUGGUCAGCUGGCCAGACAUCUGCAAACCCAAAGACCAGGGUGGCCUUGGGAUUUUGUCCUCUCGGCGCAUGAACAUCGCCCUCCUCACCCGCUGGCUAUGGCGCAUUGCCAAUGGGGAGGGAGGCCUUUGGUUG
RNAcentral lists this ribosomal RNA (582 nucleotides) under Triticum aestivum (bread wheat). RNAcentral's name for it is "partial small subunit ribosomal RNA". Lineage: Eukaryota; Viridiplantae; Streptophyta; Magnoliopsida; Poales; Poaceae. The record is from RNAcentral.